Molecule: ribosomal RNA, 253 nt
Filed under: uncultured bacterium
Lineage: Bacteria
Description: partial 16S ribosomal RNA
Rfam family: Bacterial small subunit ribosomal RNA
Source: RNAcentral
UACGGGGGGGGCAAGCGUUGUUCGGAAUUAUUGGGCGUAAAGCGCGUGUAGGCGGCAUGGCAAGUCGGGUGUGAAAGCCCUCAGCUCAACUGAGGAAGUGCGCCCGAAACUGCUUUGCUUGAGUGCUGGAGAGGGUCGCGGAAUUCCCCAAGUAGAGGUGAAAUUCGUAGAUAUGGGGAGGAACACCGGUGGCGAAGGCGGCGACCUGGACAGUAACUGACGCUGAGACGCGAAAGCGUGGGUAGCAAACAGG